UGCUCUUCCCUCCGCUUCUCGGCUGGCGAUGGGGGGGUGGAAGAAGGCGGUCCCUCCAACUCCAGCAGCCCGCCAGGUAUGAUUCCACACCCUUAUAUGAUACAUUAUGCUUGGCAAAGGACUAAUGUAUGAUCAUUUAAGCAUAACAAGUGUGCCAUGUGGUAAGCUUGAGCUGCAAAGUGGAACGACAUGAAAAAUAAGGAAGCUUCCCGUGACCAUAUACUAAAGGAAGGAUAAGAAUUGAUUCAAUGUGUUUAAGGAGAAAAAUAAAAUGAUACAACAAGUGGUGUUCCAAGUUUGCCAGACUCAUUGUGACAGCAACCCUGAAGACUUCAGAAUGAAUAUCCAGUUCAGAGAUAACCUCAGCCUCUAAUGUUCCACCUGAGUGAAGAAUGGACAGACUGAUGGGACAGUGACAGAUCGACUUAUACUUUUCAACAGCAUCUGUGUGCAGAAAGGCACAAAAUAAAUGGAUGAAGAAACAUUUCAGGAAAAUUUAUAAUGUUUUUGUA
Balaenoptera ricei (Rice's whale) is the source of this 512-nucleotide long non-coding RNA. RefSeq lists it as uncharacterized. The record is from RefSeq and is a predicted model, not a curated record. The transcript is spliced from 4 exons. Lineage: Eukaryota; Metazoa; Chordata; Mammalia; Artiodactyla; Balaenopteridae.